AAUAAAGGUGAGAAGGGAACUUCUUUAUAGGAACAUUUGACUUCUUGUCUUUCAGCCAAGGUUCCUUGUCAACUAUUAUUCAAGGAUUUCUUAUACAUUAUCUAAUAUUUCGGAAACUUUUAGAUUGCCUAAGCAGAACCCUAAAAAACUGCUUAAAAUGUGACUCAGCAUUCAGUGGAUUAGAAAUGAAUACAAACGUUUCUGCAAGUCCCCAGCCGCUUAUAGCUUAUGCAGGCUGUCUUUGAACGAACUGCCAUUUUUUCUGCUAUAGAGCCAUUUUCAAACCCUGACACCUGGUAGUUGGUGUUAGAAGCUCAAGUCCUCUACUUGUUUCAUCGAAGCACAAUGUUGCAGAAAUGGCCAUGCAAGCCAAAGU
This 376-nucleotide unclassified non-coding RNA is filed under the name Hevea brasiliensis (rubber tree). Lineage: Eukaryota; Viridiplantae; Streptophyta; Magnoliopsida; Malpighiales; Euphorbiaceae. The record is from RNAcentral.